AGAUUCUCCCGGGUCGUGUGUCAGACGCUGGGAUUCGGUUGACCGAUUUCUAGCGCCAACAGAAAUACAAUUGGGAAAAAUGAUGUUUGAUUGCCAUUGUGCACAUAAAUAAGUAACCCAAUCGAAUGGAGAUUUCUUUGGUUUCUAAUGUUGACAUGUAAGUAAGCACGUGCAACCAAAGGGAGGGUUGCUUUUUCCAAUGCGCACAUGAUUAAGUAGUAAACACAUCCAAUGGAAGGUAUGGUACAAGGAUUUCCAAUGUUGCUGGGAUGGUACAAGGAUUUCCAAUCGUAAUAAGCACACAAAAUAGACGGGAGGUUUCCUUGGUUUCCCAAUGUAAAACUCAAUAUAUAUAGUAGUUCUCUAUCCUAAAUACACCAUCCAUUCUUGUUAUAAGACAUGAUAUAAUAUGACACUAUCUCCCUUGUUACACUUAUGCGCAUAUGCCUUAUAAGAGGAGGGAGUAGUACCUAACAACGUACUUCAAUAUAAACGGAGCAGUACAUAAACGGAGGGAGUGGUACCAAGCUUUCUGAAGGUGUUCUUAUGAUAUAUCAAAGAUUUUGAAUGAUAAUUUAUUGAAUCUUGGUCCAGAUUUUCCUGAUUCUACCAAUAAAGUUUUGGUGCAGGUUACGCUGAUUGUACCAAGAAUAAGAAACGUCAAUGAAUAGACUACUAGACAUUCCACUAUUCAAAUUUUUGUCCGGCAUAUUCUACUAAGCAGAACAUCCUUUGGUCGCCAUUACCUAGCGCGGACCAGCCCUAAAAUCUUUCUGGCGCGCUAUUCAAAUAUUUAGACGCCCAGGCCAAGCCGUGUGAUAGAUGUGAAAUGUCAAUUUUCCUCCCCCCUUCCCAACAACACCCUGUUUCAUCCACCAGCAUAGCAAAAGGGUAUAUUGGUAAUGUGAUAGGGCCAUCCACCCAAUUGGCCAAAUACCCUAUCACUUCCCUCCCUCUGCCCAAAUCUUCCGCAUCCAAAAACUUUCUGCCAUCAGUUCCCCUUCACUUCCUCAAACCCAUCCCAAAUCUUCACCUACUCACCGAUAUACACAAUCUUCCCCUCAUAGCUACCACCCAUU
This 1079-nucleotide long non-coding RNA is filed under the name Setaria viridis. RNAcentral's name for it is "long non-coding RNA (SVIR_LNC002202)". Lineage: Eukaryota; Viridiplantae; Streptophyta; Magnoliopsida; Poales; Poaceae. The record is from RNAcentral.